UUCCGGUUGAUCCCGCCGGAGGUCACUGCUAUCGGGGUUCGAUUAAGCCAUGCGAGUCGAGAGGGUUCGGCCCUCGGCGUACUGCUCAGUAACACGUGGAUAACCUGCCCUAGGGAAGGGGAUAACCCCGGGAAACUGGGGAUAAUACCCUAUAGGUUACAGAUGCUGGAAUGCCCUGUAACCCAAAGUUCCGACGCCCUAGGAUGGAUCUGCGGCCGAUUAGGUUGUUGUUGGGGUAAUGGCCCAACAAGCCCGUAAUCGGUACGGGUUGUGGGAGCAAGAGCCCGGAGUUGGAUUCUGAGACACGAAUCCAGGCCCUACGGGGCGCAGCAGGCGCGAAAACUUUACAAUGCGGGCAACCGUGAUAAGGGAACCUCGAGUGCCUGUAAAUGCAGGCUGUUCAGGUGCCUAAAACACACCUGAAGAAAGGGCCGGGCAAGACCGGUGCCAGCCGCCGCGGUAAUACCGGCGGCUCGAGUGGUGGCCGCUUUUAUUGGGCUUAAAGCGUUCGUAGCUGGGUUGUUAAGUCUCUUGGGAAAUCUGGCGGCUUAACCGUCAGGCGUCUAAGGGAUACUGGCAAUCUUGGAACCGGGAGAGGUGAGGGGUACUUCGGGGGUAGGAGUGAAAUCCUGUAAUCCUCGAGGGACCACCUGUGGCGAAGGCGCCUCACCAGAACGGCUUCGACAGUGAGGGACGAAAGCUGGGGGAGCAAACCGGAUUAGAUACCCGGGUAGUCCCAGCCGUAAACUAUGCGCGUUAGGUGUAUCGGUGACCACGAGUUACCGAGGUGCCGAAGGGAAACCGUGAAACGUGCCGCCUGGGAAGUACGGUCGCAAGGCUGAAACUUAAAGGAAUUGGCGGGGGAGCACCACAACAGGUGGAGCCUGCGGUUUAAUUGGACUCAACGCCGGGAAGCUCACCGGAUAAGACAGCAGAAUGAUUGCCGGGCUGAAGACUCUGCAUGACUAGCUGAGAGGAGGUGCAUGGCC
Molecule: ribosomal RNA, 989 nt
Filed under: uncultured archaeon
Lineage: Archaea
Description: bacterial SSU rRNA
Rfam family: Archaeal small subunit ribosomal RNA
Source: RNAcentral